This 345-nucleotide unclassified non-coding RNA is filed under the name uncultured fungus. Its description in RNAcentral is "sequence contains ITS1". The record is from RNAcentral. Lineage: Eukaryota; Fungi.
UUAACUAUUAUAUAGUACUCAGACAUCACUAGAAUUCAGAGUUUGAUUCUCUGGCAGGCACAUGCAGGCAAAGCCUACAGUGGAGACCACGGCCUGCCAAAGCAACAAGAGUAAAUAAACACGGGUUGGGGCUUGGGUAUCCCGAUCCCGAUCGUCGCGCCCUGGUAUCCCUGGAGCUCAGGUUGGCCGGCCGCCACAUGGACGAACGGUGCCCGGAACCAGAGUUCAUCCCCGUGCAGAAGGAGGCACAAGUGCCUCCAAGCAACCACGGCUAGAAGAGCGCCCCGAUAGAGGAACGGACCGUCUACCUCUUUAAUGAUCCUUCCGCAGGUUCACCUACGGAAA